This 495-nucleotide ribosomal RNA is filed under the name uncultured bacterium. RNAcentral's name for it is "partial 16S ribosomal RNA". It matches the Rfam family "Bacterial small subunit ribosomal RNA", at positions 28 to 507 of the family's 1533-position model. The record is from RNAcentral.
GACGAACGCUGGCGGCGUGCCUAAUACAUGCAAGUAGAACGCUGAAGGAGGAGCUUGCUUCUCUGGAUGACUUGCGAACGGGUGAGUAACGCGUAGGUAACCUGCCUGGUAGCGGGGGAUAACUAUUGGAAACGAUAGCUAAUACCGCAUAAGAGUAGAUGUUGCAUGACAUUUGCUUAAAAGGUGCAAUUGCAUCACUACCAGAUGGACCUGCGUUGUAUUAGCUAGUUGGUGGGGUAACGGCUCACCAAGGCGACGAUACAUAGCCGACCUGAGAGGGGGAUCGGCCACACUGGGACUGAGACACGGCCCAGACUCCUACGGGAGGCAGCAGUAGGGAAUCUUCGGCAAUGGACGGAAGUCUGACCGAGCAACGCCGCGUGAGUGAAGAAGGUUUUCGGAUCGUAAAGCUCUGUUGUAAGAGAAGAACGAGUGUGAGAGUGGAAAGUUCACACUGUGACGGUAUCUUACCAGAAAGGGACGGCUAACUACGUG